UGUGUGGUUGUUUUGCAUUCAAUACAGUGUUGAUUGUGUCCUUCUCUUUAAUGCAGAUCACCCAGAUGAUUUCGCUGUGAAGAUGUAUCAUGGUGGAUACAUCAGAGACAACAGUUAUAGGCACUGUUCAAAGAAGUUUGAAGUGAGAGAGGUAACUAUGGUGUGGUUGGCCACAAUGAGAGAUCAUGCAUGUCAUAGGCAAUUGCCUCCCAAGCCAAAAGCAACCAAUUUGAACAAGAGAAAAAGGAACAAUGAAGAGGCAAGAACAUCUGGAAAUUAGGGUAUUGGUAAGAAAAAGCCUCCCUUGACAAAGAAUGAGUUAAGGCAAAAGGCAAAGCAAGGGGCAGAAAAACUAAAGAAAAAGAGGGAUGAGAAGAAGGCUGCCAUAGCUAGAGCUGCUCCGACAAAUGCAAGAGAUGCUCAUUCUGCAAAUGCAAGAGUUGCACCUUCCACAAAUGCAUGAGCUGCUGCUUCAAGCUCUCAAGCUGCUCCUUCAAGCUCCAAAGCAACUGCUACAAAAGGUAAAACUCUUGAAUCAUUUUAUGCUGAGAAAUGUGGAAUAGAUUUUCUAGCAGCAGUUAUAAAUCAGUUUAUAACAAUGAAAAUGAAAUCAAUAAGAAGUAAUACAUCAGUUCUAAAAGAAAAAAUCGAUGUCUCAUUAGCCAGUGGAUAUUGAAAUAUUACGACAGAAUCGAUGUCCCAAAAUCCAAUGCACAUUGAAUUAUAAUAUAAUGAUCGAAGUUCUAUAUAUGAUUGGA
Molecule: long non-coding RNA, 758 nt
Organism: Rosa rugosa (rugosa rose)
Lineage: Eukaryota; Viridiplantae; Streptophyta; Magnoliopsida; Rosales; Rosaceae
Exons: 3
Source: RefSeq, a predicted model, not a curated record